AUUUGUCUUAAUAAGAAAUGAUGCGUGAGAAGAAGUGGACCUGGGGUCAACUGACUCAAAGGCUUCCUCCCCAACCCUGUGUAUGUCUCAACCAUGGUACUCUGCAAACAUUGACAUUGACAGGGCUGGGGUCCAGCUUUGAAUCUAGAACUCAGGAGAUAAGAUCAAUCAGAGAGAAAGCACUGUAUUUUAUGAAAAACCAGGAACAAUGAACACAUUAUUCAUGUAGGUAUAAGCUGCGUAUCUGGCAUUAAACAUCAUUAUCUGUCUGGGAGAACUUCAAUGAAAACAUGACACCGGGAGCGUAAAACUGAAACGAUAUUUAGGCG
Molecule: long non-coding RNA, 329 nt
Filed under: Scleropages formosus (Asian bonytongue)
Lineage: Eukaryota; Metazoa; Chordata; Actinopteri; Osteoglossiformes; Osteoglossidae
Description: lncRNA (ENSSFOG00015029051.1)
Source: RNAcentral